Molecule: long non-coding RNA, 367 nt
Filed under: Olea europaea (common olive)
Lineage: Eukaryota; Viridiplantae; Streptophyta; Magnoliopsida; Lamiales; Oleaceae
Description: long non-coding RNA (OEUR_LNC002743)
Source: RNAcentral
AGAUUUGAAUGAUUUGCUUGCUGAUAGUGGCGACACAAAACAGCAGGAAAAUGGCUUGUUGUGGUUUCUUUUCCAAAUCUCUUAUGUCCAUCAUGAGGACUUCUACCUUCUGUUCUUCUCCGCCACUCGCCGCCCGUCGCAUCCGUCCUCUCCCAUUAUUCGCCUCUUGCCGUUUCUCCUUCUCCAAUCCUAGGUCCCAAAUCCCAAUUUUGAUUUCUUUUUUUCUUAGUAUCGACAUGGGGUUGUAUACUUUCUCUGUUAAAAUGAAGAUUCGAAAUCUUAGAAAAUGGAACUGGUUUUGUUCUAAUUUUCUAGCCCUCUUUCAGGUCUUCUGGGUUUCAAACGUUGGGUUCUGAAAAGAAAUUUU